This 403-nucleotide ribosomal RNA is filed under the name bacterium. RNAcentral describes it as "partial 16S ribosomal RNA". It matches the Rfam family "Bacterial small subunit ribosomal RNA", at positions 355 to 776 of the family's 1533-position model. The record is from RNAcentral.
UGGGGAAUAUUGCACAAUGGGGGAAACCCUGAUGCAGCGACGCCGCGUGAACGAAGAAGGUAUUCGUAUCGUAAAGUUCUGUCCUAUGGGAAGAUAAUGACAGUACCAUAGAAGAAAGCUCCGGCUAAAUACGUGCCAGCAGCCGCGGUAAUACGUAUGGAGCGAGCGUUGUCCGGAAUUAUUUGGCGUAAAGGGUACGCAGGCGGUUUAAUAAGUCGAAUGUUAAAGAUCGGGGCUCAACCCCGCAAAGCAUUGGAAACUGAUAAACUUGAGUAGUGGAGAGGAAAGUGGAAUUCCUAGUGUAGUGGUGAAAUACGUAGAUAUUAGGAGGAAUACCAGUAGCGAAGGCGACUUUCUGGACACAAACUGACGCUGAGGUACGAAAGCGUGGGGAGCAAACAGG